CAGCAGCCGCGGGAAAACAGAGGGUGCGAGCGUUAAUCGGAUUUACUGGGCGUAAAGCGUGCGUAGGCGGCUUUUUAAGUCGGAUGUGAAAUCCCUGAGCUUAACUUAGGAAUUGCAUUCGAUACUGGGAAGCUAGAGUAUGGGAGAGGAUGGUAGAAUUCCAGGUGUAGCGGUGAAAUGCGUAGAGAUCUGGAGGAAUACCGAUGGCGAAGGCAGCCAUCUGGCCUAAUACUGACGCUGAGGUACGAAAGCAUGGGGAGCAAACAGGAUUAGAGACCCGAGUAGUCCCUGUCUCUUAUAC
RNAcentral lists this ribosomal RNA (301 nucleotides) under uncultured bacterium. RNAcentral describes it as "partial 16S ribosomal RNA". It matches the Rfam family "Bacterial small subunit ribosomal RNA", at positions 509 to 807 of the family's 1533-position model. The record is from RNAcentral.